GCUUGGCAUGGUGGCAUGUUCCUGUAGUCCCAGCUACUCAGUAGGCUGAGGAAGGAGGAUCACUUGAGUUCAGGAGUUCUGGGUUGUAGUGCACUAUGCCAAUUGGGCAUCCACACUAAGUUCAGCUUCAAUAUGGUGACUUCGUGGGAGAAGAGGACCAUCAGGUUGCCUAAGGAGGGAUGAACUGACCCAGGUCAGAAACAGAGCAGGUCAAAACUCCCAUUCUGAUUAGUAGUGGGAUCAUGCCUGUGAAUAGCCACUGCACUCCAACUUGGGAAACAUAGUGAGACCUGGUUUUCUU
Unclassified non-coding RNA from Papio anubis (olive baboon), 301 nucleotides. It matches the Rfam family "Metazoan signal recognition particle RNA". From Rfam's summary of the family: The signal recognition particle (SRP) is a universally conserved ribonucleoprotein. It is involved in the co-translational targeting of proteins to membranes. The eukaryotic SRP consists of a 300-nucleotide 7S RNA and six proteins: SRPs 72, 68, 54, 19, 14, and 9. The record is from Ensembl. Lineage: Eukaryota; Metazoa; Chordata; Mammalia; Primates; Cercopithecidae.